RNAcentral lists this ribosomal RNA (320 nucleotides) under uncultured eukaryote. RNAcentral describes it as "partial 18S ribosomal RNA". It matches the Rfam family "Eukaryotic small subunit ribosomal RNA", at positions 1470 to 1796 of the family's 1831-position model. The record is from RNAcentral.
CCCCUAGAUGUUCUGGGCCGCACGCGCGCUACACUGAACAGUUCAACAAGUCUUAACCUUGGCCGAUAGGUCUGGGUAAUCUUUGAACGCUGUUCGUGAUUGGGAUAGACCUUUGCAAUUAUGGGUCUUCAACGAGGAAUUCCUAGUAAACGCAAGUCAUCAGCUUGCAUUGAUUACGUCCCUGCCCUUUGUACACACCGCCCGUCGCACCUACCGAUUGAAUGGUCCGGUGAAAUCUCGGGACGGCGGCUUGGUCGCUUGCGUCCGACUGCUGAAACUUGAUUAAACCAUAUCAUUUAGAGAAAGGUGAANUCGUANCA